AUUGAACGCUGGCGGCAGGCCUAACACAUGCGAGUCGAGCGGAUGAAGGGAGCUUGCUCCUGGAUUCAGCGGCGGACGGGUGAGUAAUGCCUAGGAAUCUGCCUGGUAGUGGGGGAUAACGUCCGGAAACGGGCGCUAAUACCGCAUACGUCCUGAGGGAGAAAGUGGGGGAUCUUCGGACCUCACGCUAUCAGAUGAGCCUAGGUCGGAUUAGCUAGUUGGUGGGGUAAAGGCCUACCAAGGCGACGAUCCGUAACUGGACUGAGAGGAUGAUCAGUCACACUGGAACUGAGACACGGUCCAGACUCCUACGGGAGGCAGCAGUGGGGAAUAGUGGACAAUGGGCGAAAGCCUGAUCCAGCCAUGCCGCGUGUGUGAAGAAGGUCUUCGGAUUGUAAAGCACUUUAAGUUGGGAGGAAGGGCAGUAAGUUAAUACCUUGCUGUUCUGACGUUACCAACAGAAUAAGCACCGGCUAACUUCGUG
RNAcentral lists this ribosomal RNA (484 nucleotides) under uncultured bacterium. Its description in RNAcentral is "partial 16S ribosomal RNA". It matches the Rfam family "Bacterial small subunit ribosomal RNA", at positions 30 to 507 of the family's 1533-position model. The record is from RNAcentral.